This is a long non-coding RNA of Dermochelys coriacea (leatherback sea turtle), 1706 nucleotides long. RefSeq lists it as uncharacterized. NCBI's taxonomy places the organism in Eukaryota, Metazoa, Chordata, Testudines, Dermochelyidae. The record is from RefSeq and is a predicted model, not a curated record. The transcript has 4 exons.
GCCUUAAUGCAAUGGUGGAGUAACUAGUGCCUGCAAUGACUGCUUUAGAAUGCUUGGUUGCGGAUACUCGCUAACGAGAUCUGGGUAUUGCACAAAUAUAACAGUGGUUUAUUUAGGCAACUGACUUAUCAGGCUGCUUUAAAGCAUCAUUUGGUUUCUCCCCAUUUCUGCUCAGAGGCUGGCACAGCAUGGUGGUCCUUCCUGAAGACACGUUCAUGGAGGAGGACACACAAACAACAUUACUCCAUCUGCCCAGUACCCAUGUUGCGUUAGGUACUAUACAAACAUCAACAAAAGAGCAUCCCUACCAUGAAGAGUUUACAAUCUAAUUAUAAGACAGGAGGCAAGAGGUGGAUGCAGCUAGCAGAUGUAGAAAGAACAAGUGUUUUGGGAAACCUAGAUGGAAGAGGGGAGGAAACAAAUGAGAAGGCUUGGAAAACAGAGUGAUUAAUUAAGGAGUCCAUAUCUCUUUACUAGUGUCUUCCUUAAACCACAUUUAUGUGAAUGUUUUUGGAUUUCAAGGUAAGCCACAUGGGAUGUGUUCUUCAUGUGAAAAGUCCCAAAGGAACACACCCAAAGAAUAGUACCUUUCAUGUGAAAAAUUACCACUGCUGCUACCACUUCUCAACCUGUUUAAUGUAAAAUGGAUCUGAAUGUCACUACUGCCUUAAAAGAAGUUUAAUUUCCCAAAUAUCUCCUGCUAAAUGUAUUCAGCUAGAUUUUCCAGAUGGAGUAAAUUAACAUCACUCCAUUAAAAUUAUGUCAGUUUAUACCAGCUGCAGAUUGGCUGUCUGUUCAGACUAUCAAAAUCUUUCAACUAAUUUCUCUAAAAAAAAUGCAUGGAGAUAAAGGUGAGAAAAAGGAAAGGAGAGGGAAAGGAGAUCCUGUGAAAGGAGAGAAGUGUUAGGCAAAUCAUCAUCAACCAUCUCAUUGACCCUAGGUACCAUCAGCAUCUCAGAAAUAGUGAUAUUUGUGACCUUUCACUCCAUAUUCUUUAUGAAAAUAUGCUGAUAUGAAUGACAUAAGUGAGAUGUACUGUAUGCAAGAUGGCUCAUGUAAGAUAUAAUUGGAAAGGUUAUGAUUUACUGAAUGUAAUUAUCCAAUUUGUAUGCCUGUAUCAUUUCUGUAUCUGAAGUUAGGAAUACUGACUAUGUAUCUGUAUUUCAAAUGUGUUACUUUGGGUGUCUCCCAACUAGCCCAUCAGGGUCCAACUAGCCCAUCAGGUACAACAAUGGAAAAGCUAGACAGGACAAAUGGCCCAUUAGCAAAGACAAUGGCCUGUGAAAGAACUUAGUUUUCCUGUGGACGCCCCAGACAGCCUACGAGUAAUGGCUGCCACAGCCCUGCAGAGACAUGGUCUGAGUCACCUGGUACUGGACCCACCCCUUGGAAUGCCAGUGUUCUUCCACUGGGAGACAAAGGGUUCCCACCAACACAAGAGCCAUACAAGGCAGGGGAGUGACAUCAUCGUGGGUCUCCUCUGCCUCCCAACCCAAAGAAACGCUGAAAAACACCUGAAAGCAGGAACUGAACUGAGGGUUGAACCCAGGCUGAGAGGGUGUCCAGUCUGUGAGUGGAAAUACCUGAAGUCUCAAGCUGCAGGCCAGGGCAGCUGCCUUUCAAGACUUCUAUAAUCUAUCUAUGACAAUAUUUAGGUGAGAAAUUACUAUUUGUAACCUAUUUCUUUAGUGAAACAAGUUUAGUAU